AGCUCCAAUAGCGUAUGAUAAAGUUGUUGCAGUUAAAAAGCUCGUAGUUGGAUUUCUGGUGUGGAGGGGGCGCCGGCGCCGUCAUGGCGCUCGCGCGCUGUCCUCCUCGCCAUCCUUGGGUAGAUCCGGACUGGCAUUAGGUUGUCGGCUCGGGGAAGCCCAUCGUUUACUGUGAAAAAAUUAGAGUGUUCAAAGCAGGCUUAAGCCCUGAAUACAUUAGCAUGGAAUAAUGAGAUAGGACCCUGGUGUUUUAUUUUGUUGGUUUGCACGCCAGAGUAAUGAUUAACAGGGACAGUUGGGGGUAUUCGUAUUCAAUUGUCAGAGGUGAAAUUCUUGGAUUUAUGGAAGACGAACUACUGCGAAAGCAUUUACCAAGGAUGUUUUCAUUAAUCAAGAACGA
Molecule: ribosomal RNA, 400 nt
Filed under: phytoplankton environmental sample
Lineage: Eukaryota
Description: partial small subunit ribosomal RNA
Rfam family: Eukaryotic small subunit ribosomal RNA
Source: RNAcentral